ACGGGUGAGUAACACGUGGGAACCUUCCCUAUAGUACGGAAUAGCCCAGGGAAACUUGGAGUAAUACCGUAUACGCCCGAAAGGGGAAAGAAUUUCGCUAUAGGAUGGGCCCGCGUAGGAUUAGCUAGUUGGUGAGGUAAUGGCUCACCAAGGCGACGAUCCUUAGCUGGUUUGAGAGAACGACCAGCCACACUGGGACUGAGACACGGCCCAGACUCCUACGGGAGGCAGCAGUGGGGAAUAUUGGACAAUGGGCGCAAGCCUGAUCCAGCCAUGCCGCGUGAGUGAUGAAGGCCUUAGGGUUGUAAAGCUCUUUUGCCGGGGACGAUAAUGACGGUACCCGGAGAAUAAGUCCCGGCUAACUUCGUGCCAGCAGCCGCGGUAAUACGAAGGGGACUAGCGUUGUUCGGAAUCACUGGGCGUAAAGCGCACGUAGGCGGAUUUGUAAGUCAGGGGUGAAAUCCCGGGGCUCAACCUCGGAACUGCCUUUGAUACUGCGAAUCUUGAGUCCGAUAGAGGUGGGUGGAAUUCCUAGUGUAGAGGUGAAAUUCGUAGA
This 556-nucleotide ribosomal RNA is filed under the name uncultured bacterium. RNAcentral describes it as "bacterial SSU rRNA". It matches the Rfam family "Bacterial small subunit ribosomal RNA", at positions 102 to 694 of the family's 1533-position model. RNAcentral also lists the same sequence under 1 other name. The record is from RNAcentral.